RNAcentral lists this ribosomal RNA (650 nucleotides) under uncultured archaeon. RNAcentral's name for it is "bacterial SSU rRNA". It matches the Rfam family "Archaeal small subunit ribosomal RNA", at positions 325 to 976 of the family's 1478-position model. The record is from RNAcentral.
ACGGGGCGCAGCAGGCGCGAAAACUCCGCAAUACACGAAAGUGUGACGGGGGAACCCCGAGUGCACUCACGCAAGUGAGCGCUUUUGUGAAGUGUAAAUAGCUUCACGAAUAAGAGCUGGGUAAGACCGGUGCCAGCCGCCGCGGUAACACCGGCAGCUCGAGUGGUGAUCACUAUUAUUGGGCCUAAAGCGUCCGUAGCCGGUUUGGUAAGUCCUUGGGCAAAUCCUGUCGCUUAACGGCAGGAAUUCUGAGGAUACUGUCAGACUUGAGGCCGAGAGAGGUCGGAGGUACUUCUGGGGUAGUGGUGAAAUGCUAUAAUCCUAGAGGGACCACCGGUGGCGAAGGCGUCCGACUAGAGCGGGCCUGACGGUAAGGGACGAAAGCCAGGGGAGCGAACGGGAUUAGAUACCCCGGUAGUCCUGGCCGUAAACGCUGUGGGCUAGGUGUUGCAUGCUCUACGAGGGCGUGCAGUGCCGAAGAGAAGUUGAUAAGCCUACCGCCUGGGAAGUACUAUCGCAAGAUAGAAACUUAAAGGAAUUGGCGGGGGAGCACCACAAGGGGUGAAGUCUGCGGUUCAAUUGGAUUCAACGCCGGAAAUCUCACUGGAAGCGACGGCAGAAUGACAGCCAAGCUGAUGACUUUGCUUGAC